GGAGGGCGCUUACCACUUUGUGAUUCAUGACUGGGGUGAAGUCGUAACAAGGUAACCGUAGGGGAACCUGCGGUUGGAUCACCUCCUUACCUAAGAGA
RNAcentral lists this ribosomal RNA (98 nucleotides) under Proteus mirabilis. Its description in RNAcentral is "partial 16S ribosomal RNA". It matches the Rfam family "Bacterial small subunit ribosomal RNA", at positions 1445 to 1533 of the family's 1533-position model. The record is from RNAcentral. Lineage: Bacteria; Pseudomonadati; Pseudomonadota; Gammaproteobacteria; Enterobacterales; Morganellaceae.